AAAUAAGAAACAAAAUUUUGUAAUUAGUUUCGACCUAACCUUUGAUGUUUAAUCAUCCUUAUUUA
Molecule: transfer RNA, 65 nt
Filed under: Luciola parvula
Lineage: Eukaryota; Metazoa; Arthropoda; Insecta; Coleoptera; Lampyridae
Description: tRNA-Arg
Source: RNAcentral